UGGGGAAUAUUGGACAAUGGGCGCAAGCCUGCUCCAGCCAUGCCGCGUGUGUGAAGAAGGCCUUUUGGUUGUAAAGCACUUUAAGCGAGGAGGAGGCUACUUGGAUUAAUACUCUAGGAUAGUGGACGUUCCUCGCAGAAUAAGCACCGGCUAACUCUGUGCCAGCAGCCGCGGUAAUACAGAGGGUGCGAGCGUUAAUCGGAUUUACUGGGCGUAAAGCGUGCGUAGGCGGCUUCUUAAGUCGGAUGUGAAAUCCCUGAGCUUAACUUAGGAAUUGCAUUCGAUACUGGGAAGCUAGAGUAUGGGAGAGGAUGGUAGAAUUCCAGGUGUAGCGGUGAAAUGCGUAGAGAUCUGGAGGAAUACCGAUGGCGAAGGCAGCCAUCUGGCCUAAUACUGACGCUGAGGUACGAAAGCAUGGGGAGCAAACAGG
Molecule: ribosomal RNA, 430 nt
Filed under: Fusobacteriota bacterium
Lineage: Bacteria; Fusobacteriati; Fusobacteriota
Description: Fusobacteria bacterium partial 16S ribosomal RNA
Rfam family: Bacterial small subunit ribosomal RNA
Source: RNAcentral